GACGAACGCUGGCGGCGUGCUUAACACAUGCAAGUCGAACGGAAAGGCCCUGCUUUUGUGGGGUGCUCGAGUGGCGAACGGGUGAGUAACACGUGAGUAACCUGCCCUUGACUUUGGGAUAACUUCAGGAAACUGGGGCUAAUACCGGAUAGGAGCUCCUGCUGCAUGGUGGGGGUUGGAAAGUUUCGGCGGUUGGGGAUGGACUCGCGGCUUAUCAGCUUGUUGGUGGGGUAGUGGCUUACCAAGGCUUUGACGGGUAGCCGGCCUGAGAGGGUGACCGGCCACAUUGGGACUGAGAGACGGCCCAGACUCCUACGGGAGGCAGCAGGGGGGAAUAUUGCACAAUGGGCGGAAGCCUGAGGCAGCAACGCCGCGUGCGGGAUGACGGCCUUCGGGUUGUAAACCGCUUUCGCCUGUGACGAAGCGUGAGUGACGGUAAUGGGUAAAGAAGCACCGGCUAACUACGUG
Molecule: ribosomal RNA, 468 nt
Filed under: uncultured bacterium
Lineage: Bacteria
Description: partial 16S ribosomal RNA
Rfam family: Bacterial small subunit ribosomal RNA
Source: RNAcentral